Molecule: long non-coding RNA, 244 nt
Filed under: Mytilus galloprovincialis (Mediterranean mussel)
Lineage: Eukaryota; Metazoa; Mollusca; Bivalvia; Mytilida; Mytilidae
Source: RNAcentral
UGUUAUAUACAUACCAUUAACAUUUUGGUGUAUAUCUAGAAACAACAUACACAAGAAAAAUGCUUGAAUCAAAUUGCUGUUCAUACUCGCCGUCUUCUUUCUUCCAGUACUUUACUAGUAUAUAACUUAAAAUUGUUCGUACAAAGCUGAUAUCUGUAGAUAAUGCGUAUAUGCAAUAUGGUUAUAAUCCAGUUCAAUAUGUAUUCAGCGACAAUUAUCUUAAGUUAUGCUGACUUGAAUGUUG